RNAcentral lists this ribosomal RNA (495 nucleotides) under uncultured Desulfobulbus sp. Its description in RNAcentral is "bacterial SSU rRNA". It matches the Rfam family "Bacterial small subunit ribosomal RNA", at positions 892 to 1382 of the family's 1533-position model. The record is from RNAcentral. Lineage: Bacteria; Pseudomonadati; Thermodesulfobacteriota; Desulfobulbia; Desulfobulbales; Desulfobulbaceae.
CUCAGAAACUUAAAGGAAUUGACGGGGGCCCGCACAAGCGGUGGAGUAUGUGGUUAAUUCGAUGCAACGCGAAGAACCUUACCUGGUCUUGACAUCCCGGAGACCCUUAGGAAACUAGGGGGUGCUUCCAUCUGGAAGAAUCUGGAGACAGGUGCUGCAUGGCUGUCGUCAGCUCGUGUCGUGAGAUGUUGGGUUAAGUCCCGCAACGAGCGCAACCCUUGCCUUUAGUUGCCAGCAGUUCGGCUGGGCACUCUAAAGGGACUGCCGGUGUUAAACCGGAGGAAGGUGGGGAUGACGUCAAGUCCUCAUGGCCUUUAUGACCAGGGCUACACACGUACUACAAUGGCCGAUACAAAGGGCAGCGACACUGCGAGGUGAAGCCAAUCCCGUAAAAUCGGUCUCAGUCCGGAUUGGAGUCUGCAACUCGACUCCAUGAGGUUGGAAUCGCUAGUAAUCGUGGAUCAGCAUGCCACGGUGAAUACGUUCCCGGGCCUU